GAUGAACGCUGGCGGCGUGCCUAACACAUGCAAGUCGAGCGAACAGACCAGGAGUUUGCUCCUCUGACGUUAGCGGCGGACGGGAGAGUCACAUGUGGAUAACCUACCUAUCAGACUGGGAUAAUUACGGGAAAUCGGAGCUUAUACCGGAUAAUAUAUUGCACCGCAUGGUUCAAUAGUGAAAGACGGUUUUGCUGUCACUAAUAGCUGGAUCCGCGCCGCAUUAGCUAGUUGGUAAGGUAACGGCUUACCAAGGCUACGAUGCGUAGCCGACCUGAGAGGGUGGUCGGCCACACGGGAAGUGAGACACGGCCCAGACUCCUGCGGGAGGCCGCAGUAGGGAAUCUUACGCAAUGGGCGAGAGCCUGACAGAGCAACGCCGCGUAAGUGAUGAAGGUCUUCGGAUCGUAAAACUCUGUUAUUAGGGGAGAACAAAUGUGUAAGUAACUGUGCACGUCUUGACGGUACCUGGUCAAAAAGCCACGGCUAACUACGUG
This 497-nucleotide ribosomal RNA is filed under the name uncultured bacterium. RNAcentral's name for it is "partial 16S ribosomal RNA". It matches the Rfam family "Bacterial small subunit ribosomal RNA", at positions 28 to 507 of the family's 1533-position model. The record is from RNAcentral.